AGCAAAUGAAAGGACGAAAAUGAAUCUCGGUAGGUGAGAAAAUAUCUCACCUACAUUUAUACUAAUUACAAAUGGACGGGUCGGAUCGGGUGAUCCGGCCCAAAAUUAAAUAAGGGACAUUGGGCUCAGACCACAUAACUCAUCACAAUAUACUAAUUACAAACGGACGGGUCGGAUCGGGUGAUCCGGCCCAAAAUUAAAUAAGGGACAUUGGGCUCAGACCAUAUAACUCAUCACAGCCCAGUUACAACUUACAACCCAAUGCCGGAAAUAUACCUACAAUAUACCUACAAUAUAUAUUGAGUAUACACAAAAGGUACAAGUAUAUACAAAUCUAAAUCAUGUAAUAUCUUGUAUCUCAACACCCUCCCUCAAGUUGGAGAGUGAAACCACCUGCAAGUUGGUGAGCAACGGAAGCAGCAAAGUGCCUGGCAGAGGCUUGGUGAGCAAGUCUGCCAGCUGACGAGAAGUAGGCACAUGAAGCAACUUGAUAAAACCAGAAAGCAACAAGUCCCGAACAAAAUGGCAAUCCA
RNAcentral lists this long non-coding RNA (533 nucleotides) under Nicotiana benthamiana. RNAcentral's name for it is "long non-coding RNA (NBEN_LNC014455)". Lineage: Eukaryota; Viridiplantae; Streptophyta; Magnoliopsida; Solanales; Solanaceae. The record is from RNAcentral.